AGAAAAACGCUUGAGUCUCGUUAAAAAUUUGAAAUCAUGAUGCUGAAAAUACUAGUGCUGCUAGUUUUGUCCAUUUUCUACCUAAAUGGUAAUGUUGAAGCCGAUAAACCCAGGAUUGAAACUGAUGUGAUACAACAUGAUCUUCAUCCAAAGCGAAAGACGGCACAAUGCUACCAUGAAAAAUUUGGACAUUUAAACAGAGGCUACACCAAAUUGCCUGGAAAAUGUAUUCAAUUAUCUUGCCAUAUACAGGGAUACAUAGAGGAGACAAGGUGUAAGAACGUGAUUUCGAAGGAGCCGAACUGUGUUAACAGGCCGAAGGAUCCUAAGAAAUCUUUUCCAGAUUGUUGUCCAGUCAAAUGUGCUAAACGCUCGGCUAAACACUAGUCUGUAGCCUCGCUGGGUGACUCAAUAAAAAUCUAUUCAAAAUA
Molecule: RNA transcript, 431 nt
Organism: Tribolium castaneum (red flour beetle)
Lineage: Eukaryota; Metazoa; Arthropoda; Insecta; Coleoptera; Tenebrionidae
Exons: 3
Source: RefSeq, a predicted model, not a curated record